CGAACGCUGGCGGCGUGGCUAAGGCAUGCAAGUCGAACGGACGUAUUUCCUUCGGGAGGUGCGUUAGUGGCGAACUGGUGAGGAAUGCAUGGAUAACGUGCCCUGGACUCGGGAAUAGCGGCGGGCUUCGGCCCUUUAGCGAAAGUGCCGGUAAUACUCGAUGACCCCGCGAAAUCGCAUGAUUUUGCGGGCAAAGCUCCGGCGGUCCAGGAGCGGUUCAUGUCCUAUCAGCUUGUUGGUGGGGUAACGGCCUACCAAGGCAUCGACGGGUAGCGGGCGUGAGAGCGCGACCCGCCACAUCGGGACUGAGACACUGCCCGGACACCUACGGGUGGCUGCAGCAACGAAUAUUCCGCAAUGGACGAAAGUCUGACGGAGCGACGCCGCGUGCAGGAAGAAGUCCCUCGGGAUGUAAACUGCUGUCAGGGGUGAGGAACACAAUGACCAGCCCCAGAGGAAGCGCUGGCUAACUCCGUGCCAGCAGCCGCGGUAAU
RNAcentral lists this ribosomal RNA (494 nucleotides) under uncultured bacterium. RNAcentral's name for it is "bacterial SSU rRNA". It matches the Rfam family "Bacterial small subunit ribosomal RNA", at positions 30 to 524 of the family's 1533-position model. The record is from RNAcentral.